GUCCUCAAGUACUAACAUUGCUUUUGCUGUCACAUUUGUCCUGGCUUUGCAGAGGUUAAAAAGAUUAUUGCAUAGCAGCUUCCAAGCAUGGAAAAAGGAGGUAAUCAAAUUGGACCACAGCCCAGGGAAACUGUGAGGUCUUACUGAGCACUGCGUGCCAGUGGAAAGAAGCAUUUUGAAAGGUAAACUGGUGGGGGCGAUGGGGUUCAGAUAUUCUCUGAGACCGGGAACGUCACUGCUCUCCCCGGGAAGCUGCUUUAGGCACAGUGCUCCUGCCUGACUCGGGAAGACUGCUCUCCUGGCCUCCUGGAAGUCAUAUGGGAAACAGGGCAACAUCAAACAGAAGGAAACAGAAGACAGAAGACCCAGAGCAACAGAUAUCCUGACUUACUAGAAGAGUACAGACACAUUUCAUGAGUAAUCUAAGAAGGAAAACAUCAUUUUAUCUCCAAAU
This 454-nucleotide long non-coding RNA is filed under the name Homo sapiens (human). RNAcentral describes it as "HSALNT0027680". Lineage: Eukaryota; Metazoa; Chordata; Mammalia; Primates; Hominidae. The record is from RNAcentral.